Molecule: ribosomal RNA, 494 nt
Filed under: uncultured bacterium
Lineage: Bacteria
Description: partial 16S ribosomal RNA
Rfam family: Bacterial small subunit ribosomal RNA
Source: RNAcentral
GACGAACGCUGGCGGCGUGCUUAACACAUGCAAGUCGAACGGUGAAGCGCCUUCCUUUUUGGUGGGUGUGGAUGAGUGGCGAACGGGUGAGUAACACGUGAGUAACCUGCCCCCUUCUUCUGGAUAACCGCAUGAAAGUGUGGCUAAUACGGGAUAUUCUGGUUCUGUCGCAUGAUGGGUCUGGGAAAGAUAUUGUUUCGGUGGGGGAUGGGCUCGCGGCCUAUCAGCUUGUUGGUGGGGUGAUGGCCUACCAAGGCGGUGACGGGUAGCCGGCCUGAGAGGGUGGACGGUCACACUGGGACUGGGACACGGCGCAGACUCCGACGGGAGGCAGCAGUGGGGAAUAUUGCACAAUGGGCGCAAGCCUGAUGCAGCGACGCCGCGUGAGGGAUGGAGGCCUUCGGGUUGUGGACCUCUUUCGCCAGUGAAGCAGGCCUGCCUCGUUUGUGGGUGGGUUGACGGUAGCUGGAUAAGAAGCGCCGGCUAACUACGUG